CCAGUCAAGAGUCAAUACGAAAAGAAGAAAAUGGCUAUAAACACACAGUCUCUAUCUCUCUGUCGUCUACACAAUACAAAUCAUGCCCUAACUCUAUUCAGUCCAUCUCUAAGAAGAUUGGAAAAUUAUCUGCAGGUCUCUUGAAGAGCAUCAUCCUCAACAAACCAAGACGAUGGCUAAGAAAAAGGUGGUGGUCAAGGUGUACAACAUGAACGGUAGGAAGCUGAAGUGCUGGCUCUGCCCGAAAUUUGGAGCGCGAGAUAAUCGCUCGGAGGCUCUUAAAAUUGCAGCCACUGUCCCAGGGUUCUCAUCGUUGAGUUUGAAAGGAACGGACCGAGAUGUGAUUGAAGUAACGGGG
Molecule: long non-coding RNA, 358 nt
Organism: Eucalyptus grandis
Lineage: Eukaryota; Viridiplantae; Streptophyta; Magnoliopsida; Myrtales; Myrtaceae
Exons: 3
Source: RefSeq, a predicted model, not a curated record